GACGAACGCUGGCGGCGUGCUUAACACAUGCAAGUCGAACGGAAAGGCCCUUCUUUUGUGGGGUGCUCGAGUGGCGAACGGGUGAGUAACACGUUAUUAACCUGCCCUUGACUUUGGUAUAACUUCAGGAAACUGGGGCUAAUACCGGAUAGGAGCUCCUGCUGCAUGGUGUGGGUUGGAAAGUUUCGGCGGUUGGGGAUGGACUCGCGGCUUAUCAGCUUGUUGGUGGGGUAGUGGCUUACCAAGGCUUUGACGGGUAGCCGGCCUGAGAGGGUGACCGGCCACAUUGGGACUGAGAGACGGCCCAGACUCCUACGGGAGGCAGCAGUGGGGAAUAUUGCACAAUGGGCGGAAGCCUGAUGCAGCAACGCCGCGUGCGGGAUGACGGCCUUCGGGUUGUAAACCGCUUUCGCCUGUGACGAAGCGUGAGUGACGGUAAUGGGUAAAGAAGCACCGGCUAACUACGUG
RNAcentral lists this ribosomal RNA (468 nucleotides) under uncultured bacterium. RNAcentral's name for it is "partial 16S ribosomal RNA". It matches the Rfam family "Bacterial small subunit ribosomal RNA", at positions 28 to 507 of the family's 1533-position model. The record is from RNAcentral.